GAUGAACGCUAGCUACAGGCUUAACACAUGCAAGUCGAGGGGAAACGAUAGAGAAAGCUUGCUUUUUCUAGGCGUCGACCGGCGCACGGGUGAGUAACGCGUAUCCAACCUGCCCAUCACUUGGGGAUAACCUUGCGAAAGUAAGACUAAUACCCAAUGACGUCUCUAGAAGACAUCUGAAAGAGAUUAAAGAUUUAUCGGUGAUGGAUGGGGAUGCGUCUGAUUAGCUUGUUGGCGGGGUAACGGCCCACCAAGGCGACGAUCAGUAGGGGUUCUGAGAGGAAGGUCCCCCACAUUGGAACUGAGACACGGUCCAAACUCCUACGGGAGGCAGCAGUGAGGAAUAUUGGUCAAUGGACGAGAGUCUGAACCAGCCAAGUAGCGUGCAGGAUGACGGCCCUAUGGGUUGUAAACUGCUUUUAUAAGGGAAUAAAGUGAGUCUCGUGAGACUUUUGCAUGUACCUUAUGAAUAAGGACCGGCUAAUUCCGU
RNAcentral lists this ribosomal RNA (490 nucleotides) under uncultured bacterium. RNAcentral's name for it is "bacterial SSU rRNA". It matches the Rfam family "Bacterial small subunit ribosomal RNA", at positions 28 to 506 of the family's 1533-position model. The record is from RNAcentral.